Molecule: ribosomal RNA, 305 nt
Filed under: Enterobacter asburiae
Lineage: Bacteria; Pseudomonadati; Pseudomonadota; Gammaproteobacteria; Enterobacterales; Enterobacteriaceae
Description: partial 23S ribosomal RNA
Rfam family: Bacterial large subunit ribosomal RNA
Source: RNAcentral
GUUAAGCGACUAAGCGUACACGGUGGAUGCCCUGGCAGUCAGAGGCGAUGAAGGACGUGCUAAUCUGCGAAAAGCGCCGGCGAGGUGAUAUGAACCUUUGACCCGGCGAUGUCCGAAUGGGGAAACCCAGUGCAAUUCGUUGCACUAUCGUUAACUGAAUACAUAGGUUAACGAGGCGAACCGGGGGAACUGAAACAUCUAAGUACCCCGAGGAAAAGAAAUCAACCGAGAUUCCCCCAGUAGCGGCGAGCGAACGGGGAGCAGCCCAGAGUCUGAAUCAGCUUGUGUGUUAGUGGAAGCGUCUG